AAGUCGUAACAAGGGGAUUGCAAUCUCUGGUAAAUCAAUGUGGGAUGAAAGCAGUUUGAUUAAGAGACCUCUGGCCUGUGAGAAAAUUGGAACAGUUACAAUUCGAGCGGUAGGUUUAUAGGCCUUGUUUGCCCAAGCAGUCAGUGUCUGAAAGCGUCAUUGAUUGCGCAAGGAUAGCGCUUCACGAUUCCUGUAGACCGUACACUCGGGCAGGAGUUUAUUGCAAAGCUCAAUGUAAUACAUUGGGUAAAACAACUUGAACAACUGUUAACAAUGGAUAUCUUGGUUCUC
RNAcentral lists this unclassified non-coding RNA (291 nucleotides) under fungal sp. RNAcentral's name for it is "partial internal transcribed spacer region". Lineage: Eukaryota; Fungi. The record is from RNAcentral.